UCUAUACGCGACCGCGCGACCCCGGACCCCUUCCUUUUCGAGGGGAGCGCUCCUUCCUUUUCGAGGGGAGCGCCAUCCAUCCGUCCCGCCCCGUCGGCCGCCGCCAGGCCUCGCGCUCGCCAACAGGCCUCCGUCCUCCCCCAACAUCGGCCGCCGCCGGAACUCCGUGCUCCUCCUCGCGACCGCGCGCUGCCAUCCUCUUCGGUCGUGGCUGCUUCUCCCCUUCAUCCCGUCCAAAAAGCUUAAAAAAACAUAAAGUCUAGACGACUCGUUGCGCCAGUGACGGAGGGCACGACCCUAACAGGCCAACGCGACGUGCCCUGGUAGACUCCAGCCUACGAGACUACAAAUCAUUCCUUCCGGCCUGUUUUGCGCCGACCGCCCCAUGCUCCCCUCCCAUUCCCCAACAGCCGCCUCCUGCGGCAGUGGGGAGAGGAGCCCGUGCGGGAGGUGAUUCCCGGUUGCUGAAGAGGAGCGUCGGCAGAGGACCGGCGAGGGGCGGCGGCGGCAGUCCCCGUCGAGUAGUGGAUCGGAGCGCUUGCCCCCGCACCGCUGCGGUUUUCAAUCAAGGCUAAGAAACAUAAACUUGAAACUGUGGGACAUCCUUCUCCUCCGAGAAGGAAUACAAGAGCAGCUUCUAAAUCAGAUUUGGGAGUUUGUGGUGCUGGUGGGCCCUCACAGACACAACAUGUUAGUGAUGCUGCCCCCUCGUCGAAGAGGGUCACUAGAGCAAACUGUAGAAAUAUCAAGGGAAUGCCAGAUCAAGAUGUGGAAAACAAGAGGCGCAAGAAAAGCAUCAUCAUGGGCGAUGAAGUAAAACAGAAAUUAAAAGAGAAAAAGAUGGAUGAACGCCACAAAAUUAAGAAGCAACCAGAUAAGAACUUGAGGAAAAAGGGAUCAGCAAGGAGGCUCAUAUUAACAGCACACUAGAAGAUCCUCAGAAAAAGACUAUCGAAUGUGUCGGUUUUGGGGGCUGCUUCUAGUUCAAUGUUGGUUAGUUCUAGAGAAGUUAUCUUCCUGGCCCAUCAAAAGAUUUGUUGAUCUUUGCUGAAUCUGCGAUCGCAUGGAAUACCCGCACACACAAACUUGGGUUUGAAGUAGGGCACAAGAAUGAGCCGAUGACCACAUAAGAUGUCACUCCUCUUCUUUCCCUCACCCAAUAGCCAAUUUUCAGCUUCAGUGAAUAUUGGUGCUUUUUGGUCAUUUUCAUGGUUGAAAACUUUAUAAAAUUCUUCAUAUGUAUCAGCGAAGCUGUUCUUUGCAUAAUCGAUGUGCUCUCCAACCAUUGGGAGCCCCAAGAUCUUGUGGACAGUAUGGUCAUCAACCUUUAUUCUGACCCUGUAUGGUAUGACCAAUUCGGAUCUUGUGACAUCAAAUUUUUUGAUGAGCCAGGAAGAUAGCUUCUCUGGAACUAACCAACAUUGAACUAGAAGCAGCCCCCAAAACCGACACAUUCGAUAGCCUUUUUCUGAGGAUCUUCUAGUGUGCUGUUAAUAUGAGCCUCCUCGCUGACCCCUUUGUUUCCUAAGUCAUAGAAUAUGAAGAAAAAAAGUAUAGAAAAAAAUUCAGUAUGUGGUGCAAGAAAAAAUAAAAACAUGAGCAAAAACAAAGUAUUCUAAAAUGGGAGGUGUGUGAAUAAAAAAAUGCAAGGAAAAAACAGGUGUGUUGAACCUUAUCAGGUUGCUUCUUAAUUAUGUGGCGUUCAUCCAUCGCCCUCUUUCUCUUUUAAUUUCUGUUUUACUUGAUUGCUCAUGAUGAUGCUUUUCUUGCGCCUCUUGUUUUCCACAUCUUGAUCUGGCAUUCCCUUCAUAUUUCUGCAGCUUGCUCUAGUGACCCUCUUCGACGAGGGGGCAGCAUCACUAGCAUGUUCUAGUUGUGUCUGUGAGGGCCCACCAGCACCACAAACUCCCAAAUCUAAUUUGGAAGCUGCUCUUGUAUUCCUUCUCGGUGUAGAAGGAUGUCCCACAGUUUCAAGUUUAUGUUUCUUAGCCUUACUAGAAAACAGGCACGCAAAAAUAAAUUAGAGUAUAUAAAAUGCAUGUUGACCCUUUAAAUUGUGCUUUGAUAGUUACCUCGACUCUAACGUGACACUAUAUAAUGAGUCUGUAACUUGACGAUACAGGAAUGUCUGACUUGACAUUAAAAUGAUGCUAUUUGCAUGCAAAA
Molecule: long non-coding RNA, 2166 nt
Organism: Panicum virgatum (switchgrass)
Lineage: Eukaryota; Viridiplantae; Streptophyta; Magnoliopsida; Poales; Poaceae
Exons: 4
Source: RefSeq, a predicted model, not a curated record